GCUGGGCAUGGCAGUGUGUGCCUGUAGUUCCAGAUACUUGGAGGCUAGUGUAGGAGGAUAGCGCUAGCCUAGGAGUUGGAGGGCAGCCUGAGCAACAUAGCAAGACCUCAUCUCUU
RNAcentral lists this small RNA (116 nucleotides) under Marmota monax (woodchuck). Lineage: Eukaryota; Metazoa; Chordata; Mammalia; Rodentia; Sciuridae. The record is from RNAcentral.